UGUCCUACGGGGGGCAGCAGUGGGGAAUAUUGCACAAUGGGGGAAACCCUGAUGCAGCGACGCCGCGUGGGCGAGGAAGUACCUCGGUAUGUAAAGCCCUAUCAGCAGGGAAGAAACAGGACAGUACCUGACUAAGAAGCCCCGGCUAACUACGUGCCAGCAGCCGCGGUAAUACGUAGGGGGCAAGCGUUAUCCGGAUUCACUGGGCGUAAAGGGAGCGCAGGCGGCAUGGCAAGUCUGAUGUGAAAACCCGGGGCCCAACCCCGGGAGUGCAUUGGAAACUGUACAGCUAGAGUGCAGGAGGG
Molecule: ribosomal RNA, 305 nt
Filed under: uncultured bacterium
Lineage: Bacteria
Description: bacterial SSU rRNA
Rfam family: Bacterial small subunit ribosomal RNA
Source: RNAcentral